GUGCGUAACACGUGAACAAUCUACCUUUUAGUGUGGAAUAGCUCGGCGAAAGCCGGAUUAAUACCGCAUGUGGUUGUCCUUCUCCUGAAGGGCAUACUAAAGUCAGGGACCGCAAGGCCUGACGCUAUUAGAGGAGUUCGCGGCCUAUCAGCUAGUUGGCGAGGUAACGGCUCACCAAGGCUAAGACGGGUAGCUGAUCUGAGAGGAUGAUCAGCCACACUGGAACUGAGACACGGUCCAGACACC
Molecule: ribosomal RNA, 246 nt
Filed under: uncultured bacterium
Lineage: Bacteria
Description: partial 16S ribosomal RNA
Rfam family: Bacterial small subunit ribosomal RNA
Source: RNAcentral